RNAcentral lists this ribosomal RNA (484 nucleotides) under uncultured bacterium. RNAcentral describes it as "partial 16S ribosomal RNA". It matches the Rfam family "Bacterial small subunit ribosomal RNA", at positions 30 to 507 of the family's 1533-position model. The record is from RNAcentral.
AUUGAACGCUGGCGGCAGGCCUAACACAUGCAAGUCGAGCGGAUGAAGGGAGCUUGCUCCUGGAUUCAGCGGCGGACGGGUGAGUAAUGCCUAGGAAUCUGCCUGGUAGUGGGGGAUAACGUCCGGAAACGGGCGCUAAUACCGCAUCCGUCCUGAGGGAGAAAGUGGGGGAUCUUCGGACCUCACGCUAUCAGAUGAGCCUAGGUCGGAUUAGCUAGUUGGUGGGGUAAAGGCCUACCAAGGCGACGAUCCGUAACUGGUCUGAGAGGAUGAUCAGUCACACUGGAACUGAGACACGGUCCAGACUCCUACGGGAGGCAGCAGUGGGGAAUAUUGGGCAAUGGGCGAAAGCCUGAUCCAGCAAUGCCGCGUGUGUGAAGAAGGUCUUCGGAUUGUAAAGCGCUUUAAGUUGGGAGGAGGGAAAGUAAGUUAAUACCUUGCUGUUUUGACGUUACCAACAGAAUAAGCACCGGCUAACUUCGUG